This 141-nucleotide non-coding RNA is filed under the name Actinomyces sp. Its description in RNAcentral is "FMN sequence". It matches the Rfam family "FMN riboswitch aptamer (RFN element)". Rfam says of the family: The RFN element is a highly conserved domain that is found frequently in the 5'-untranslated regions of prokaryotic mRNAs that encode for flavin mononucleotide (FMN) biosynthesis and transport proteins. This element is a metabolite-dependent riboswitch that directly binds FMN in the absence of proteins. Lineage: Bacteria; Bacillati; Actinomycetota; Actinomycetes; Actinomycetales; Actinomycetaceae. The record is from RNAcentral. RNAcentral also lists the same sequence under 1 other name.
ACGUGCUCCGGGGUCGGUGGAAGUCCGAGCCGGCGGUAAUAGUCCGCGACCCGGUCACGCCAACCCGUCGGGGCGGCGCGGCCGGUUGAGCUGGUGGAAGCCCAGCACCGACGGUGAGAGUCCGGAUGGGAGGAAGCACGA